UUGGAUAACCGUGGUAAUUCUAGAGCUAAUACAUGCUGAAAAUCCCGACUCCGGAAGGGAUGUAUUUAUUAGAUUCAAAACCAAUGCCCUCUGGGCUCACUGGUGAUUCAUGAUAACUCCUCGAAUCGCACGGCCUUGCGCCGGCGAUGGUUCAUUCAAAUUUCUUCCCUAUCAACUUUCGAUGUUUGGGUAGUGGCCAAACAUGGUUGCAACGGGUAACGGAGGGUUAGGGCUCGACCCCGGAGAAGGAGCCUGAGAAACGGCUACUACAUCCAAGGAAGGCAGCAGGCGCGCAAAUUACCCAAUCCCGACACGGGGAGGUAGUGACAAUAAAUACUGAUACAGGGCUCUUUUGGGUCUUGUAAUUGGAAUGAGUACAAUUUAAAUCCCUUAACGAGGAACAAUUGGAGGGCAAGUCUGGUGCCAGCAGCCGCGGUAAUUCCAGCUCCAAUAGCGUAUAUUAAAGUUGUUGUGGUUAAAAAGCUCGUAGUUGAACCUUGGGCCUGGCUGGCCGGUCCGCCUCACCGCGUGUACUGGUCCGGCCGGGCCUUUCCCUCUGUGGAACCCCAUGCCCUUCACUGGGCGUGGCGGGGAAACAGGACUUUUACUUUGAAAAAAUUAGAGUGCUCCAGGCAGGCCUAUGCUCGAAUACAUUAGCAUGGAAUAAUGAAAUAGGACGCGCGGUUCUAUUUUGUUGGUUUCUAGGACCGCCGUAAUGAUUAAUAGGGACAGUCGGGGGCAUCAGUAUUCAAUAGUCAGAGGUGAAAUUCUUGGAUCUAUUGAAGACUAACUACUGCGAAAGCAUUUGUCAAGGAUGUUUUCAUUAAUCAGGAACGAAAGUUAGGGGAUCGAAGACGAUCAGAUACCGUCGUAGUCUUAACCAUAAACUAUGCCGACUAGGGAUCGGACGAUGUUAUUUUUUGACUCGUU
RNAcentral lists this ribosomal RNA (930 nucleotides) under Hirsutella uncinata. RNAcentral describes it as "SSU rRNA". It matches the Rfam family "Eukaryotic small subunit ribosomal RNA", at positions 139 to 1080 of the family's 1831-position model. The record is from RNAcentral. Lineage: Eukaryota; Fungi; Ascomycota; Sordariomycetes; Hypocreales; Ophiocordycipitaceae.